UUCCACCGUGUGACUGAAUCCCCACUUUAUUUUGACAGCGUGGGCGACCCGGAUGACUUUAGGAAGGACGCUAGCGCUUCUCUCUCUGCCGCUCAGCGCGUCGACAAGAAACAUACGCCGAGACAGAAAAACACAGAUGAGAUGAGACGUGAGGCAGCGAGCGUCUGAGCGUCACCUCACAUUGCGCAAUCCCUCACAAACUGGGUUGAAGAGGCUUGUGACGGGCAAGUGUCUGUUUCUGUCUCUCUUCACAUCUCCAAUCAAAUGUUUUCAGCUCACACACGACAAACUGGAGAUGUCGAAGAACUCUUCCGCACUGCAAUCCGAAGGAGCUUGGAAGGGAAUGAGAAGAUGUUGGCCGUCAACUGGAUUGGGACGGAGGAAAAAUAAUAUGAAAGCAAAUCUGUGUUUGCUAAUAAAAGGCGGCGUCCCCGUCGCCAUGGUGUGGAGGGUCCGAUUCUUAUUCUUGCGGGGUUAGCAUCAGGCUCCGUGGAGCACUACCGCCGCCUUCUGUCUGGAGGCGCGCAUGCAA
This is a long non-coding RNA of Phycodurus eques (leafy seadragon), 532 nucleotides long. RefSeq lists it as uncharacterized. The transcript is spliced from 3 exons. The record is from RefSeq and is a predicted model, not a curated record. Lineage: Eukaryota; Metazoa; Chordata; Actinopteri; Syngnathiformes; Syngnathidae.